AUUGAACGCUGGCGGCAGGCCUAACACAUGCAAGUCGAGCGGAUGAAGGGAGCUUGCUCCUGGAUUCAGCGGCGGACGGGUGAGUAAUGCCUAGGAAUCUGCCUGGCAGUGGGGGAUAACGUCCGGAAACGGGCGCUAAUACCGCAUACGUCCUGAGGGAGAAAGUGGGGGAUCUUCGGACCUCACGCUAUCAGAUGAGCCUAGGUCGGAUUAGCUAGUUGGUGGGGUAAAGGCCUACCAAGGCGACGAUCCGUAACUGAUCUGAGAGGAUGAUCAGUCACACUGGAACUGAGACACGGUCCAGACUCCUACGGGAGGCAGCAGUGGGGAAUAUUGGACAAUGGGCGAAAGCCUGAUCCGGCCAUGCCGCGUGUGUGAAGAAGGUCUUCGGAUUGUAAAGCACUUUAAGUUGGGAGGAAGGGCAGUAAGUUAAUACCUUGCUGUUUUGACGUUACCAACAGAAUAAGCACCGGCUAACUUCGUG
This 484-nucleotide ribosomal RNA is filed under the name uncultured bacterium. RNAcentral's name for it is "partial 16S ribosomal RNA". It matches the Rfam family "Bacterial small subunit ribosomal RNA", at positions 30 to 507 of the family's 1533-position model. The record is from RNAcentral.